UAAGAGGUCCCGCCUGCCCUGUGACUAUAUGUUUAACGGCCGCGGUAUUUUGACCGUGCAAAGGUAGCGCAAUCACUUGUCCUUUAAAUGUGGACCUGUAUGAAUGGCAUAACGAGGGCUUAGCUGUCUCCUUUCUCAAGUCAAUGAACUUGAUCUCCCCGUGCAGAAGCGGGGAUAAAACCAUAAGACGAGAAGACCCUAUGGAGCUUUAGACAAAAAACAGCCCCUGUCAAUAAACCCUAAAUAAAGGGAAUAAACCUAGUGAACCUGUUUUAAUGUCUUUGGUUGGGGCGACCGCGGGGUAACAAAAAACCCCCAUGUGGAAUGAAAACACCCUUUUUAAACCCAAGAGUCACCACUCUAGGAUACAGAACAUCUGACCAAUAAUGAUCCGGCUAAAGCCGAUUAACGAACCGAGUUACCCUAGGGAUAACAGCGCAAUCCUCUUUUAGAGUCCAUAUCGACAAGAGGGUUUACGACCUCGAUGUUGGAUCAGGACAUCCUAAUGGUGCAGCCGCUAUUAAAGUUCG
RNAcentral lists this ribosomal RNA (530 nucleotides) under Takifugu rubripes (torafugu). RNAcentral's name for it is "partial 16S ribosomal RNA". It matches the Rfam family "Bacterial large subunit ribosomal RNA", at positions 1846 to 2574 of the family's 2925-position model. Lineage: Eukaryota; Metazoa; Chordata; Actinopteri; Tetraodontiformes; Tetraodontidae. The record is from RNAcentral.